AAAAAAACGUAAACAGUGUUGUUGGUUGAUCAAUUUUGAGGUAGAAGUCCUCCCCAAUGCGUGCUGGCUCCGUCGGAAGCGGUACGUGCAUAUACCGGCAUAGAAAAGUGGUGUGGUGGACAACACAGCACAAGACAGUGGAUAUAAUGCAAAAAUGAUAUGGGCCUGCCGCAGGUGUUUGCGACUGUGCGCUGUGUAUGAUUGUGUAUGAUACGCCAAUUUUCCUCUAUCCUGGAACGUGGGCUUACGAUGAACCAUUAAAGAACAUCCUCCGGGAGCUGUACGGCGACGAAUCGGGCUCUACCAGCACAACACGCUAGAGACCCAGCCGGCACCGGGUGCCCCGAUUGCGCCGUCAGACGGUGUCGAGCGCGCUCGUUCACAACGUUCGGGGCAGGAAUUCAACCCUUCGGAUCUGCAUUAUCCGCUGCCUCACAAUAGCUGCAGCAGCAACAGGACCGAACCGACCGCACUACUGAUUGCGGUCAAAUUUCCUGGCAGGAGAAAAAACCCCACAAGUGUAUCGAUUUCAUCGACGGCCGCUCGCUGACGGCACCAACAUGCCACUGAAUAACCCCGGAAAGGCGACAAGCGCUCAUCUCCAGCGGCAAAUUGUUAACAUCAAUCCUCUUCCGCACAUCUACACGACAUCAUGAUAAAAAUACGUUAAUGAGUUAAGAUUAAUCUUAAGUGAGCUUUAAGGCAUACAUCGAUAUGCCUAAUUUUAGGUUAAGUGUUAUGAAAUGCGCGUGUGUGCGAAGGGUCGAAAUGAGCGCUAAGCAAACUAAGCGGCCGCGUAGGGCCCCGUGGUCUUGAGGGGCCCCAAAAAUGGAACCCACCCCUCGCUCGCUAGUAAAAUUUACAUUUGUGCU
Anopheles merus is the source of this 872-nucleotide long non-coding RNA. RefSeq lists it as uncharacterized. The transcript has 5 exons. The record is from RefSeq and is a predicted model, not a curated record. NCBI's taxonomy places the organism in Eukaryota, Metazoa, Arthropoda, Insecta, Diptera, Culicidae.